CCUUGCAAGGUCCUCAUACCUGUCAGACAGUUUUCACUUGACCUCGACCUGAUUUCAUGGAUCAGUGAACAAGGUUAAGUUUUCGUGGUCAAGUCCAUAUCUCAGAUACUAUAAGCAAUAGGUCUAGUAUAUUCGGUGUAUGGAAGGACUGUAAGGUGUACAUGUCCAACUGGCAGGUGUCAUCUGACCUUGACCUCAUUUUCAUGGUUCAGUGGUUAUAGUUAAGUUUUUGUGUUUUGGUCUGUUUUUCCUAUACUGUAUGCCAUAGGUCUACUUUAUUUGGUGUAUGGAAUGAUUGUAAGGUGUACAUGUCUAGCGGGCAGGUGUCAUCUGACCUUGACCUCAUUUUCAUGGUUCAGUGGUCAAAGUUAAGUUUUUUGAGUUUUGGUCUUUUUUUCUAAUACUAUAUAUGCAAUAGUUCAACUAUAUUUGGUGUAUGGAAAUAUUUUAUGAUUUAUUUGGCAGUCACGCAGGUUUUAUUUGACCUUGACCUCAUUUUUCAAGGUUCAUUGCUCAGUGUUAAGUUUUUGUGUUUUGGUCUGUUUUUCUUAAACUAUAAGCAAUAGGUCAACUAUAUUUGUUGUAUGGAAGAAUUUUUAGCUGUACAUGCCUGCCUAGCAUGGUUCAUCUGACCUUGACCUCAUUUUCAUGGUUCAUUGGUCAAUGUUUAGUUUACUUGGUUAAUGUUAAGUUUAUGUGACAGUUGUAAUAAAGCUUUAUAUUUAGGACAAUCAACAUAAUAUCAAUGAUUAGUAAAGAAGGCGAGACAUUUCAGCGUGUGCACUCUUGUUGAUUAUGGGCCCAGUUUUCAAGUUGGUCCAAAUUGGGGUCCAAAAUUAAACUUUGUUUGAUUUCAACAAAAAUUGAAUAUAUGAGGUUCUUUGAUAUGCUGAAUCUAACCAUGUAUUUAGAUUUUUUAUUUGUAGGCCCCGCUAUCAAAUUGGUUCAUAUUGAGAUCAAGAGGGUCCAAAAUUAAACUUUGUUUGAUUUCAUCGAAAAUUGAAUUAUUGGGGUUCUUUGAUAUGCCAAAUCUAACCGUGUUUUUAGAUUUUUAAUUUGGGUCCCGUUUUUUAAAUUGGUCUUCAUUGAGGUCCAAAGGGUCCAAAAUUAAACUUAGUUUGAUUUUAACAAAAAUUGAAUUCUUGGGGUUCUUUGAUAUGCUGAAUCUAAACAUGUAUUUAGAUUUUUGAUUAUGGGCCCAGUUUUCAAGUUGGUCCAAAUUGGGGUCCAAAAUUAAACUUUGUUUGAUUUCAACAAAAAUUGAAUAUAUGAGGUUCUUUGAUAUGCUGAAUCUAACCAUGUAUUUAGAUUUUUUAUUUGUAGGCCCCGCUAUCAAAUUGGUUCAUAUUGAGGUCAAAAGGGUCCAAAAUUAAACUUUGUUUGAUUUCAUCUAAAAUUGAAUUAUUGGGGUUCUUUGAUAUUCCAAAUCUAACCGUGUAUUUAGGUUUUUAAUUUUGGGUCCUGUUUUUUAAAUUGGUCUACAUUGAGGUCCAAAGGGUCCAAAAUUAAACUUAGUUUGAUUUUGACAAAAAUUGAAUUCUUGGGGUUCUUUGAUUUGCUGAAUCUAAACAUGUGUUUAGAUUUUUGAUUAUGGGCCCAGUUUUCAAGUUGGUCCAAGAUAGGGUCCAGUAUUUAAACUUUGUUUGAUUUCAACAAAAAUUGAAUAUAUGGGGUUCUUUGAUAUGCUGAAUCUAAACAUGUAUUUAGAUUUUUGAUUAUGGGCCCAGUUUUCAAGUUGGUCCAAAUUGGGGUCCAAAAUUAAACUUUGUUUGAUUUCAACAAAAAUUGAAUAUAUGAGGUUCUUUGGUAUGCUGAAUCUAACCAUGUAUUUAGAUUUUUUUAUUUGUAGGCCCCGCUAUCAAAUUGGUUCAUAUUGAGGUCAAAAGGGUCCAAAAUUAAACUUUGUUUGAUUUCAUCGAAAAUUGAAUUAUUGGGGUUCUUUGAUAUGCCAAAUCUAACCGUGUUUUUAGAUUUUUAAUUUGGGUCCCGUUUUUUAAAUUGGUCUUCAUUGAGGUCCAAAGGGUCCAAAAUUAAACAGUUUGAUUUUAACAAAAAUUGAAUUCUUGGGGUUCUUUGAUAUGCUGAAUCUAAACAUGUGUUUAGAUUUUUGAUUAUGGGCCCAGUUUUCAAGUUGGUCCAAGUUGGGGUCCAAAAUUAAACUUUUUUUGAUUUCAACAAAAAUUGAAUAUAUGGGGUUCUUUGAUAUGCUGAAUCUAACCAUGAAUUUAGAUUUUUUAUUUGUGGGCCCCGCUAUCAAAUUGGUUCAUAUUGAGGUCAAAAGGGUCCAAAAUUAAACUUUGUUUGAUUUCAUCAAAAAUUGAAUUAUUGGGGUUCUUUGAUAUUCCAAAUCUAACCGUGUAUUUAGAUUUUUAAUUUUAAGUCCCGUUUUUUAAAUUGGUCUACAUUAAGGUCCAAAGGGUCCAAAAUUAAACUUAGUUUGAUUAUAGCAAAAAUUGAAUUCUUGGGGUUCUUUGAUAUGCUGAAUCUAAACAUGUGUUUAGAUUUUUGAUUAUGGGCCCAGUUUUCAAGUUUGUCCAAGUUGGGGUCCAAAAUUAAACUUUGUUUGAUUUUAACAAAAAUUGAAUAUAUGGGGUUCUUUGAUAUGCUGAAUCUAACCAUGUAUUUUGAUUUUGGACAUUGGACCAUAAUAGGUAAAUUAAAAAAAUUCAAGUUCUUAGACCACAUUCUUUCUGUGUCAGAAACCUAUGCUGUGUCAAAUAUUUAAUAACAAUCCAAAUUCAGAGCUGUAUCAAGCUUGAAUGUUGUGUCCAUACUUGCCCCAACUGUUCAGGGUUCGACCUCUGCGGUCGUAUCAAGCUGCGCCCCAGCGAAGCAUUUUAUCU
Mytilus californianus (California mussel) is the source of this 2843-nucleotide long non-coding RNA. RefSeq lists it as uncharacterized. The transcript is spliced from 3 exons. The record is from RefSeq and is a predicted model, not a curated record. Lineage: Eukaryota; Metazoa; Mollusca; Bivalvia; Mytilida; Mytilidae.